UUUAAGUUCAGUUGUAAUUUCUGUCCAAUGCUUGACCAUUCGUUAUAUUUGAAUUUUGUUAUGAUUAGUGUUUUUUUAUUAGAUGAUAAAACAUAAAUAUUAUUUUAUGUGUGAUUUUUUUAAUUUUUUUAUUUUUUUUUAAAUAAGAUGGACGGUUAAACAUACACACAGAAACUGAUAACUGCACUCAAA
Molecule: microRNA precursor, 192 nt
Filed under: Oryza rufipogon (brownbeard rice)
Lineage: Eukaryota; Viridiplantae; Streptophyta; Magnoliopsida; Poales; Poaceae
Description: MIR812 microRNA precursor family
Rfam family: MIR812 microRNA precursor family
Source: Rfam by way of RNAcentral